GUACUCGCUUCAGUAGCACAUACACUAAAAUUGGAACAAUACAGAGAUUAGCAGGGCCCCUACACAAGGAUGACACACACGUUUGUGAAGCGUUCCAUGUUUAA
Molossus molossus (Pallas's mastiff bat) is the source of this 104-nucleotide small nuclear RNA. The record is from RefSeq and is a predicted model, not a curated record. NCBI's taxonomy places the organism in Eukaryota, Metazoa, Chordata, Mammalia, Chiroptera, Molossidae.